RNAcentral lists this ribosomal RNA (253 nucleotides) under uncultured bacterium. RNAcentral's name for it is "partial 16S ribosomal RNA". It matches the Rfam family "Bacterial small subunit ribosomal RNA", at positions 524 to 776 of the family's 1533-position model. The record is from RNAcentral.
UACAGAGGUCCCGAGCGUUGUUCGGAUUCAUUGGGCGUAAAGAGCGUGUAGGCGGCCAGGUAGGUCGGUUGUGAAAACUGGAGGCUCAACCUUCAGACGUCGACCGAAACCAUCUGGCUAGAGUCCGGGAGAGGAGAGUGGAAUUCCUGGUGUAGCGGUGAAAUGCGCAGAUAUCAGGAAGAACACCCGUGGCGAAAGCGGCUCUCUGGAACGGUACUGACGCUGAGACGCGAAAGCGUGGGGAGCGAACAGG